Molecule: ribosomal RNA, 253 nt
Filed under: uncultured bacterium
Lineage: Bacteria
Description: partial 16S ribosomal RNA
Rfam family: Bacterial small subunit ribosomal RNA
Source: RNAcentral
UACGUAGGUUGCAAGCGUUGUUCGGAAUUAUUGGGCGUAAAGCGCGUGUAGGCGGUUUGCUAAGUCUGGUGUGAAAGCCCGGGGCUCAACCCCGGAAGUGCACUGGAUACUGGCAGACUAGAGGACGGGAGAGGAAGGUGGAAUUCCUGGUGUAGGGGUGAAAUCCGUAGAUAUCAGGAGGAACAUCGGCGGCGAAGGCGGCCUUCUGGCUCGUUACUGACGCUGAGACGCGAAAGCGUGGGGAGCAAACAGG